GGUAGUCCACGCCGUAAACGAUGUCGACUUGGAGGUUGUGCCCUUGAGGCGUGGCUUCCGGAGCUAACGCGUUAAGUCGACCGCCUGGGGAGUACGGCCGCAAGGUUAAAACUCAAAUGAAUUGACGGGGGCCCGCACAAGCGGUGGAGCAUGUGGUUUAAUUCGAUGCAACGCGAAGAACCUUACCUACUCUUGACAUCCGGAGAACUUAGCAGAGAUGCUUUGGUGCCUUCGGGAACUCUGAGACAGGUGCUGCAUGGCUGUCGUCAGCUCGUGUUGUGAAAUGUUGGGUUAAGUCCCGCAACGAGCGCAACCCUUAUCCUUUGUUGCCAGCGGUUAGGCCGGGAACUCAAAGGAGACUGCCAGUGAUAAACUGGAGGAAGGUGGGGAUGACGUCAAGUCAUCAUGGCCCUUACGAGUAGGGCUACACACGUGCUACAAUGGCGCAUACAAAGAGAAGCGACCUCGCGAGAGCAAGCGGACCUCAUAAAGUGCGUCGUAGUCCGGAUUGGAGUCUGCAACUCGACUCCAUGGAGUCGGAAUCGCUAGUAAUCGUAGAUCAGAAUGCUACGGUGAAUACGUUCCCGGGCCUUGUACACACCGCCCGUCACACCAUGGGAGUGGGUUGCAAAAGAAGUAGGUAGCUUAACCUUCGGGAGGGCGCUUACCACUUUGUGAUUCAUGACUGGGGUGAAGUCGUAACAAGGUAACCGUAGGGGAACCCUGC
Molecule: ribosomal RNA, 727 nt
Filed under: uncultured bacterium
Lineage: Bacteria
Description: bacterial SSU rRNA
Rfam family: Bacterial small subunit ribosomal RNA
Source: RNAcentral